RNAcentral lists this long non-coding RNA (207 nucleotides) under Elaeis guineensis (African oil palm). RNAcentral's name for it is "long non-coding RNA (EGUI_LNC056761)". The record is from RNAcentral. Lineage: Eukaryota; Viridiplantae; Streptophyta; Magnoliopsida; Arecales; Arecaceae.
GGGAUCAAAUCCCAAAUUAUUUGAUAUAAACCUUCAUGGAGGCUUGAAUAUGCAGAUUCUCUACUUCGCAUGCACGUCAAAUGCUGCAGGAAAGCAGGAUGAACUCCAAUCCAAUUGGCUUCGCAUACACAAUCAAUCGAGGGAUAAGAUGUGAUGAUGUGAUACCUCACACCAGCAGGUAUGAUGCCCAAGAAGGAUCCACACCCA